AUAUUUGUGAAUACGAUAUUGUCAAUGAUUGAUGAAAGGUUAUAUGUAUAUAUGAUGUUUUAAGAUGUUAAUUACCAUUUGAUGUUGUUAUAUCUUGAGAUUGUUUGUGUACUGCCAUGCUGCUGUUUAUUAUUGAUUAAGAUGCAUCUGUUGGUUAAUGUUGUGGGAAAUGUUGGUUAAUAUUUGAUUAAAGUUAGGUUUUGUUAAUUAAUGGGUUUUGAGUGUAGGAAUUGUUGAAUUGGAGUUAGAAAUGGG
Molecule: long non-coding RNA, 255 nt
Filed under: Medicago truncatula (barrel medic)
Lineage: Eukaryota; Viridiplantae; Streptophyta; Magnoliopsida; Fabales; Fabaceae
Description: long non-coding RNA (MTRU_LNC005200)
Source: RNAcentral